AUUGAACGCUGGCGGCAUGCCUUACACAUGCAAGUCGAACGGUAACAGGUCUUCGGAUGCUGACGAGUGGCGAACGGGUGAGUAAUACAUCGGAACGUGCCCGAUCGUGGGGGAUAACGAAGCGAAAGCUUUGCUAAUACCGCAUACGAUCUACGGAGGAAAGCAGGGGACCGCAAGGCCUUGCGCGAACGGACCGGCCGGUGGCAGAUUAGGUAGUUGGUGGGGUAAAAGCUUACCAAGCCGACGAUCUGGAGCUGGUCUGAGAGGACGACCAGCCACACUGGGACUGAGACACGGCCCAGACUCCUACGGGAGGCAGCAGUGGGGAAUUUUGGACAAUGGGCGAAAGCCUGAUCCAGCCAUGCCGCGUGCAGGAUGAAGGCCUUCGGGUUGUAAACUGCUUUUGUACGGAACGAAAAGACUCUGGUUAAUACCUGGGGUCCAUGACGGUACCGUAAGAAUAAGCACCGGCUAACUACGUGCCAGCCGCCGCAGUAA
RNAcentral lists this ribosomal RNA (498 nucleotides) under uncultured bacterium. RNAcentral's name for it is "partial 16S ribosomal RNA". It matches the Rfam family "Bacterial small subunit ribosomal RNA", at positions 30 to 523 of the family's 1533-position model. The record is from RNAcentral.